GAUGAAGAACGUAGCGAAAUGCGAUAAGUAAUGUGAAUUGCAGAAUUCAGUGAAUCAUCGAAUCUUUGAACGCACAUUGCGCCCAUUAGCAUUCUAGUGGGCAUGCCUGUUCGAGCGUCAUUUCAACCCUUAAGCCCUGUUGCUUAGCGUUGGGAGCCUACAGUACUGUAGCUCCCCAAAGUUAGUGGCGGAGUCGGUUUCACACUCUAGACGUAGUAAUUUUUUCUCGUCUGUAGUUGAGUCGGUCCCCUGCCGUAAAACACCCAAUUUAUCAAGGUUGACCUCGGAUCAGGUAGGAAUACCCGCUGAACUUAAGCAUAUCAAUAAGCGGAGGA
This 335-nucleotide unclassified non-coding RNA is filed under the name soil metagenome. Its description in RNAcentral is "partial contains 5.8S ribosomal RNA, internal transcribed spacer 2, and large subunit ribosomal RNA". The stretch from base 1 to 120 matches the Rfam family "5.8S ribosomal RNA", at positions 35 to 154 of the family's 154-position model. The record is from RNAcentral.